AGAGUAGUUUUGGCGCGUCAAGUGCCACCGAACGGGACGUUGUCGGUGGACGAAAGAGGGGAGCUCCUUCUGCGGUGCCAAGGCGCGUCCGCU
Molecule: non-coding RNA, 93 nt
Filed under: pig gut metagenome
Description: THF riboswitch
Rfam family: THF (Tetrahydrofolate) riboswitch aptamer
About the family: THF riboswitch presents a pseudoknot that joins P1-P2 and the loop of P3 and two THF binding.
Source: RNAcentral